Non-coding RNA from Pelobates cultripes (western spadefoot toad), 333 nucleotides. The record is from the annotation of a GenBank genome assembly. NCBI's taxonomy places the organism in Eukaryota, Metazoa, Chordata, Amphibia, Anura, Pelobatidae.
GCCCUCAAUCCCUCUGUUACUGUGUCACUAUACCCCACUCCCUCUAACAUGUAAACUCACUGAGCAGGGCCCUCAAUCCCUCUGUUACUGUGUCACUAUACCCCACUCCCUCUAACAUGUAAACUCACUGAGCAGGCCCUCAAUCCCUCUGUUACUGUGCCACUAUACCCCACUCUCUCUAACAUGUAAACUCACUGAGCAGGCCCUCAAUCCCUCUGUUACUGUGUCACUACACCCCAUUCCCUCUAACAUGUAAACUCACUGAGCAGGCCCUCAAUCCCUCUGUAACUGUGUCACUAUACCCCACUCCCUCUAACAUGUAAACUCACUGAG